Molecule: transfer RNA, 73 nt
Filed under: Scleropages formosus (Asian bonytongue)
Lineage: Eukaryota; Metazoa; Chordata; Actinopteri; Osteoglossiformes; Osteoglossidae
Description: tRNA-Tyr
Rfam family: tRNA
About the family: Transfer RNA (tRNA) molecules are approximately 80 nucleotides in length.
Source: RNAcentral
CCUUUGAUAGCUCAGUUGGUAGAGCAGAGGACUAUAGAUCCUUAGGUUGCUGGUUUGAACCUGGCUCAUAGGA